Molecule: long non-coding RNA, 105 nt
Organism: Thalassophryne amazonica
Lineage: Eukaryota; Metazoa; Chordata; Actinopteri; Batrachoidiformes; Batrachoididae
Exons: 4
Source: RefSeq, a predicted model, not a curated record
GAAGUCCAGUCAGUACGUGAUGAAGCAGUGUACAGAUCACACUCCAAGUGCUCCUGUUAACUUGACAAUUUUCUGUUUUUGCGGGUUAGUUGGAUGGUAAAUAAU